Molecule: ribosomal RNA, 253 nt
Filed under: uncultured bacterium
Lineage: Bacteria
Description: partial 16S ribosomal RNA
Rfam family: Bacterial small subunit ribosomal RNA
Source: RNAcentral
GACAGAGGGUGCAAACGUUGUUCGGAAUUACUGGGCGUAAAGGGCGCGUAGGCGGCUUGGCAAGUGGAAGGUGAAACCCCUCGGCUUAACCGAGGAACUGCCCUCCAAACUGCUUUGCUUGAGGCCGGGAGAGGCGAGUGGAAUUCCCAGUGUAGCGGUGAAAUGCGUAGAUAUUGGGAGGAACACCAGUGGCGAAGGCGGCUCGCUGGACCGGUUCUGACGCUGAGGCGCGAAAGCGUGGGGAGCAAACGGG